RNAcentral lists this unclassified non-coding RNA (352 nucleotides) under soil metagenome. Its description in RNAcentral is "partial contains 5.8S ribosomal RNA, internal transcribed spacer 2, and large subunit ribosomal RNA". The stretch from base 1 to 120 matches the Rfam family "5.8S ribosomal RNA", at positions 35 to 154 of the family's 154-position model. The record is from RNAcentral.
GAUGAAGAACGUAGCGAAAUGCGAUAAGUAAUGUGAAUUGCAGAAUUCAGUGAAUCAUCGAAUCUUUGAACGCACAUUGCGCCCGCCAGUAUUCUGGCGGGCAUGCCUGUUCGAGCGUCAUUUCAACCCUCAGGCCCCUAGUGCCUGGUGUUGGGGAUCGGCCCAGCCUUCCUGUAAGGCCGCCGGCCCCGAAAUCUAGUGGCGGUCUCGCUGUAGUCCUCCUCUGCGUAGUAGCACAACCUCGCAGUUGGAACGCGGCGGUGGCCAUGCCGUUAAACACCCCACUUCUGAAAGUUGACCUCGGAUCAGGUAGGAAUACCCGCUGAACUUAAGCAUAUCAAUAAGCGGAGGA